CCUGCCUAUACAUGCAGUAGAACGCUGAAGAGAGGAGCUUGCUCUUCUUGGAUGAGUUGCGAACGGGUGAGUAACGCGUAGGUAACCUGCCUUGUAGCGGGGGAUAACUAUUGGAAACGAUAGCUAAUACCGCAUAACAAUGGAUGACACAUGUCAUUUAUUUGAAAGGGGCAAUUGCUCCACUACAAGAUGGACCUGCGUUGUAUUAGCUAGUAGGUGAGGUAAUGGCUCACCUAGGCGACGAUACAUAGCCGACCUGAGAGGGUGAUCGGCCACACUGGGACUGAGACACGGCCCAGACUCCUACGGGAGGCAGCAGUAGGGAAUCUUCGGCAAUGGGGGCAACCCUGACCGAGCAACGCCGCGUGAGUGAAGAAGGUUUUCGGAUCGUAAAGCUCUGUUGUAAGUCAAGAACGGGUGUGAGAGUGGAAAGUUCACACUGUGACGGUAGCUUACCAGAAAGGGACGGCUAACUACGUGCCAGCAGCCGCGGUAAUACGUAGGUCCCGAGCGUUGUCCGGAUUUAUUGGGCGUAAAGCGAGCGCAGGCGGUUUGAUAAGUCUGAAGUUAAAGGCUGUGGCUCAACCAUAGUUCGCUUUGGAAACUGUCAAACUUGAGUGCAGAAGGGGAGAGUGGAAUUCCAUGUGUAGCGGUGAAAUGCGUAGAUAUAUGGAGGAACACCGGUGGCGAAAGCGGCUCUCUGGUCUGUAACUGACGCUGAGGCUCGAAAGCGUGGGGAGCGAACAGGAUUAGAUACCCUGGUAGUCCACGCCGUAAACGAUGAGUGCUAGGUGUUGGAUCCUUUCCGGGAUUCAGUGCCGCAGCUAACGCAUUAAGCACUCCGCCUGGGGAGUACGACCGCAAGGUUGAAACUCAAAGGAAUUGACGGGGGCCCGCACAAGCGGUGGAGCAUGUGGUUUAAUUCGAAGCAACGCGAAGAACCUUACCAGGUCUUGACAUCCCGAUGCUAUUUCUAGAGAUAGAAAGUUACUUCGGUACAUCGGUGACAGGUGGUGCAUGGUUGUCGUCAGCUCGUGUCGUGAGAUGUUGGGUUAAGUCCCGCAACGAGCGCAACCCCUAUUGUUAGUUGCCAUCAUUCAGUUGGGCACUCUAGCGAGACUGCCGGUAAUAAACCGGAGGAAGGUGGGGAUGACGUCAAAUCAUCAUGCCCCUUAUGACCUGGGCUACACACGUGCUACAAUGGUUGGUACAACGAGUUGCGAGUCGGUGACGGCGAGCUAAUCUCUUAAAGCCAAUCUCAGUUCGGAUUGUAGGCUGCAACUCGCCUACAUGAAGUCGGAAUCGCUAGUAAUCGCGGAUCAGCACGCCGCGGUGAAUACGUUCCCGGGCCUUGUACACACCGCCCGUCACACCACGAGAGUUUGUAACACCCGAAGUCGGUGAGGUAACCUUUUGGAGCCAGCCGCGUAA
Molecule: ribosomal RNA, 1431 nt
Filed under: Streptococcus thermophilus
Lineage: Bacteria; Bacillati; Bacillota; Bacilli; Lactobacillales; Streptococcaceae
Description: bacterial SSU rRNA
Rfam family: Bacterial small subunit ribosomal RNA
Source: RNAcentral